GAUGAACGCUGGCGGCGUGCCUAAUACAUGCAAGUCGAGCGAACGGACGAGAAGCUUGCUUUUCUGAUGUUAGCGGCGGACGGGUGAGUAACACGUGGAUAACCUACCUAUAAGACUGGGAUAACUUCGGGAAACCGGAGCUAAUACCGGAUAAUAUUUUGAACCGCAUGGUUCAAAAGUGAAAGACGGUCUUGCUGUCACUUAUAGAUGGAUCCGCGCUGCAUUAGCUAGUUGGUAAGGUAACGGCUUACCAAGGCAACGAUGCAUAGCCGACCUGAGAGGGUGACCGGCCACACUGGAACUGAGACACGGUCCAGACUCCUACGGGAGGCAGCAGUAGGGAAUCUUCCGCAAUGGGCGAAAGCCUGACGGAGCAACGCCGCGUGAGUGAUGAAGGUCUUCUGAUCGUAAAACUCUGUUAUUAGGGAAGAACAUAUGUGUAAGUAACUGUGCACAUCUUGACGGCACCUAAUCAGAAAGCCACGGCUAACUACGUG
RNAcentral lists this ribosomal RNA (497 nucleotides) under uncultured bacterium. RNAcentral describes it as "partial 16S ribosomal RNA". It matches the Rfam family "Bacterial small subunit ribosomal RNA", at positions 28 to 507 of the family's 1533-position model. The record is from RNAcentral.